RNAcentral lists this long non-coding RNA (703 nucleotides) under Equus caballus (horse). RNAcentral describes it as "lncRNA (ENSECAG00000050947.1)". The record is from RNAcentral. Lineage: Eukaryota; Metazoa; Chordata; Mammalia; Perissodactyla; Equidae.
GUUAAUAAUGUUCGCUGCUUUAUCAAAGACAUUCUCAAGUGAAACUGACUUUUUUUUUUUUUACUGCCCAUGUGUGGUGAUGAACUCAGCCACUGCUCCCACAGCUCGAUGUCGCUGCCCUGCGUUGUGUAGAUGCAAUCACAGUUUUACCCACGAUCAGUGAAAACAUCAACAGUGAAAAAGAUAAAUUUGCCGAGAAUAACUCAUCAUACAUGUGAUUCAGCGAUAUUAAAGAGAGGCCGAGAAAGUAGAACUGUGUCCUCAGGAAUUGCUGGGUCAAAGGGAAAAGUAAACCAGUGAGAGGAGGAAGAUGGGAAAGAAGAAAGGGGAAGGAAGAAGCAAAAGGAAAAGUAAUAAAAUUAGAUCAAGAGGAGAUUAUGAAAAAGAGAGCUGAACUUGUAAAAGAAAAAAGAGGGGGAGAGACUGGAGAGCGAGGAGGAGAGAGCGAGAAAGACAUCGAAACUGAAGAAUAUUCACUUUAAACACGAGAAGGUUGACACAAGCAAGCUGCUUUUAAUUUUUAUGUUAACCCUAAAUGAAAGAGAAACUAAAAUGUGAAGGAGAAAAAGCUUCUAUUUUAGAAGCCUCAAUAUAAUACAUUUAAAGAAAUAUUUUUGUUGUAAAAUGUGUAAAUUGUUUUUGGAAUUAUCUUUUCAAACCAUGUACCUAGAUUUUCUGUAUAUAUUUUAUUAUGUGAGCACAG